GGGAGUUCACUGGUGAUUUGGCUUUCUGUCUGUCUAUUAUUGGUGUAUACGUAUGCUUAUGGGUUAUGCUCAUUGAUUUUGUAUCCUGAGACUUUGCUGAAAUUGCUUCUCAGCUUAAGGAGAUUUUGGACUGAGACGAUGGGAUUUUCUAAAAAUACAAUUAUGUCAUUCAGCUUUUAAGAUUCAUCUGCUUUUAAGAUUCAUCAUUGGAAUCCUGGAUUUGAAAGAAAAUGAAGAAUUCACUAAAGGUUCCCAUUUGUAGAUUUGAGAUGGCAGAAGAAAAUAAAAAUCACCAAACUUGAAGGCAAUUUUCAACCACUUGCAGUUAAACAAAGUCACAAGACUAGGUCUUGGCAACGGGAUAUGUGAGGAAGUGAUGUGAAUUCCUGGCCAAAGCAUAGAAGUGCAGAGGCAAGACCAUCCAGGUGACUCUUGCGAAGCAUCAGCUAUGGAGGCAAUGUGGUCCACGACACUUGUGACAGGAUUUCUGCACAAGAUGGUGCCUGAUGGGAAUCUUUACAAAGGACCUUGAAGCAGUCCCUGUGACAGCCCUAGAACAACAGAUAAAAAGUCUGACUACUCUGAGACCAUCAUACUGGAGAGGCCAAAAUAGGCUUUUUAGUUGACAGUGCCAGCCUUCCAGCCAUCCCUGCCAAGUCAUCAGGCAUGCAAGUAAAACCAUAUUGAAACCUAUAGACCAGCCAAUUCAUCAGCUGACUACACUACCAACUGACCUCAGUCAACACAGAACAGAAGAAUCACCCAGUGGGGUCCUGCUUGAAUUCUGCAUCUACAAAAUUGUGAACAAAAUAAAAUGAUUAUUGUUUUAAGCCACU
RNAcentral lists this long non-coding RNA (836 nucleotides) under Homo sapiens (human). RNAcentral describes it as "HSALNT0087671". The record is from RNAcentral. Lineage: Eukaryota; Metazoa; Chordata; Mammalia; Primates; Hominidae.